GUCCCGCAACGAGCGCAACCCUUGCUCUUAGUUGCCAUCAUUCAGUUGGGCACUCUAAGGGGACCGCCGGUGACAAACCGGAGGAAGGUGGGGAUGACGUCAAGUCAUCAUGGCCCUUAUGACCAGGGCUACACACGUACUACAAUGGUCGGUACAGAGGGUUGCCAACCCGCGAGGGGGAGCUAAUCCCAGAAAGCCGAUCGUAGUCCGGAUUGGAGUCUGCAACUCGACUCCAUGAAGUCGGAAUCGCUAGUAAUCGUGGAUCAGCAUGCCACGGUGAAUACGUUCCCGGGCCUUGUACACACCGCCCGUC
RNAcentral lists this ribosomal RNA (313 nucleotides) under Chaetoceros affinis. RNAcentral's name for it is "partial Bacterial small subunit ribosomal RNA". It matches the Rfam family "Bacterial small subunit ribosomal RNA", at positions 1084 to 1398 of the family's 1533-position model. The record is from RNAcentral. Lineage: Eukaryota; Bacillariophyta; Thalassiosirophyceae; Chaetocerotales; Chaetocerotaceae.